RNAcentral lists this ribosomal RNA (492 nucleotides) under uncultured bacterium. RNAcentral's name for it is "partial 16S ribosomal RNA". It matches the Rfam family "Bacterial small subunit ribosomal RNA", at positions 29 to 507 of the family's 1533-position model. The record is from RNAcentral.
AGUGAACGCUGGCGGUAGGCCUAACACAUGCAAGUCGAACGGCAGCACAGUAAGAGCUUGCUCUUACGGGUGGCGAGUGGCGGACGGGUGAGGAAUACAUCGGAAUCUACUUUUUCGUGGGGGAUAACGUAGGGAAACUUACGCUAAUACCGCAUACGACCUACGGGUGAAAGCAGGGGAUCUUCGGACCUUGCGCGAUUGAAUGAGCCGAUGUCGGAUUAGCUAGUUGGCGGGGUAAAGGCCCACCAAGGCGACGAUCCGUAGCUGGUCUGAGAGGAUGAUCGGCCACACUGGAACUGAGACACGGUCCAGACUCCUACGGGAGGCAGCAGUGGGGAAUAUUGGACAAUGGGCGCAAGCCUGAUCCAGCCAUACCGCGUGGGUGAAGAAGGCCUUCGGGUUUUAAAGCCCUUUUGUUGGGAAAGAAAAGCAGCAGGUUAAUACCCCGCUGUUCUGACGGUACCCAAAGAAUAAGCACCGGCUAACUUCGUG